AGUGAACGCUGGCGGUAGGCCAAACACAUGUAAGUCGACCGGCAGCACAGUAAGAGCUUGCUAGUACGAGUGGCGAGUGGCGGACGGGUGAGGCAUACACCGGAAUCUACUUUUUUGUGGGGGAUAACGAAGGGAAACUUACGCGAGUACCGCAUACGCCUUACGGGUGAAGGUAGGGGGUCUUCGGACUUUGCGGGAUUGAUUGUGCCGACGCCGGAUUAGCUAGUUGGAGGGGUAAAGGCCAACCAAGGCGACGACCCGUAGCUGGUCGGAGAGGAUGAUGAGCCACACUGGAACUGAGACACGGUCCAGACUCCUACGGGAGGCAGCAGUGGGGAAUAUUGGACAAUGGGCGCAAGCCUGAUCCAGCCAUACCGCGUGGGUGCAGAAGGUCUUCGAGUUGUAAAGCCCGUUUGUUGGGAAAGAAAAGCAGCAGGUUAACACCCCGCUGUUCUGACGGUAACCAAAGAAUAAGCACCGGCUAACUUCGUG
Molecule: ribosomal RNA, 492 nt
Filed under: uncultured bacterium
Lineage: Bacteria
Description: partial 16S ribosomal RNA
Rfam family: Bacterial small subunit ribosomal RNA
Source: RNAcentral